Daphnia magna is the source of this 831-nucleotide long non-coding RNA. RefSeq lists it as uncharacterized. NCBI's taxonomy places the organism in Eukaryota, Metazoa, Arthropoda, Branchiopoda, Diplostraca, Daphniidae. The transcript is spliced from 3 exons. The record is from RefSeq and is a predicted model, not a curated record.
ACCAGGAGUUGUCGUCAUGUUUUGCCUGACAGCGUUCAGGUCCCUGAACGAGAUAAAGCUGUCUCGGUCGCCGGGUCGAACCCUACCGUCUAUAUUGGAUGGUAAACGUGCACCUGCAACACACCCGGUAAGGCUUUGAGACCAGUUUUCAACUAACGAACAUCUGUUUUUACCCCUUAUAACACCCUUCUGGUGGUAGUAAAUAAAACUUUUCACAUCUAGUUCAAGAAGCAUGCAGCUAUUAAAAUUCAUUUGUUAAUGGCGUCUCUGUUCAUUCUCGGCCGAAAAUGCAAAAAGUGAAAGUGUGCUUUAUUUGUGGUGUGAUUGAUAAGGAAAGCGACAAAUCCUUGUUUUUCAUUCCAUUAGGAAAAUUGGAGGAAUGGCAGAAAAUAAUUGCCAAACCUGGGUUGACGAGGCACAUUUUAAGAAAAGUGAAAUUCAUAAAGGAACUCAAGUAAGCAACAACUUUGUUCCAGCAGCAAGAAAUCGUUUGUUAAAAAAAAUGUAGUGCCCACAAAAAAUUUGGCAGGUAUAGCAAUCUUGAAACAGACUACAAUGGCCUUACAGCCAUGUAUCCUUAACAUUGGAUCAACAGCAGGAGGACCAAGGUUACGUACUGAACCAUGUACCAAAAUACAGAAGCCACAGCCAAGGCCACCAGAACUUGUUGCAGCUGUAAGGAACGGUCAGCCGCGUUCCUUACAUCCCUUUCUCCCUUCCCACGCUUACAACCCUUUUCCCCUCUUCCACCGAUAGGUCAUCUACCGAUGGCUCCGGCCUUCAAACGUGUGAAUUCUCCACAUAGGUGUUACAUUUACACACAAAACAUUA